CAGCAGCCGCGGGAAUACCGAGGGUGCGAGCGUUAAUCGGAUUUACUGGGCGUAAAGCGUGCGUAGGCGGCUUCUUAAGUCGGAUGUGAAAUCCCUGAGCUUAACUUAGGAAUUGCAUUCGAUACUGGGAAGCUAGAGUAUGGGAGAGGAUGGUAGAAUUCCAGGUGUAGCGGUGAAAUGCGUAGAGAUCUGGAGGAAUACCGAUGGCGAAGGCAGCCAUCUGGCCUAAUACUGACGCUGAGGUACGAAAGCAUGGGGAGCAAACAGGAUUAGAUACCCCCGUAGUCCCUGUCUCUUAUAU
This 301-nucleotide ribosomal RNA is filed under the name uncultured bacterium. RNAcentral describes it as "partial 16S ribosomal RNA". It matches the Rfam family "Bacterial small subunit ribosomal RNA", at positions 509 to 809 of the family's 1533-position model. The record is from RNAcentral.